Molecule: ribosomal RNA, 508 nt
Filed under: uncultured bacterium
Lineage: Bacteria
Description: bacterial SSU rRNA
Rfam family: Bacterial small subunit ribosomal RNA
Source: RNAcentral
CGAACGCUGGCGGCGUGCUUAACACAUGCAAGUCGAACGCGAAAGGGACUUCGGUCCUGAGUAAAGUGGCGCACGGGUGAGUAACGCGUAGAUAACCUGUCUUCAUGUCUGGAAUAAUACGCCGAAAGGGGUACUAAUACCGGAUAUUCUUGCUUUUCAUAAGUUAUGCAAGCAAAGGUGGCCUCUGCAUAUGCUACUGCAUGAAGAGGGGUCUGCGUACCAUUAGCUGGUAGGUGGGGUAAUGGCCUACCUAGGCGACGAUGGUUAGCGGGUCUGAGAGGAUGAUCCGCCACACUGGCACUGGAACACGGGCCAGACUCCUACGGGAGGCAGCAGUGAGGAAUAUUGCGCAAUGGGGGAAACCCUGACGCAGCGACGCCGCGUGAGUGAGGAAGGCCUUCGGGUCGUAAAGCUCUGUCAAGAGGAAAGAAGUGUACAAUGGCUAAUACCUGUUGUAUUUGACGGUACCUCUAAAGGAAGCACCGGCUAACUCCGUGCCAGCCGCAGC